Acanthochromis polyacanthus (spiny chromis) is the source of this 1951-nucleotide long non-coding RNA. RefSeq lists it as uncharacterized. The record is from RefSeq and is a predicted model, not a curated record. The transcript has 3 exons. Lineage: Eukaryota; Metazoa; Chordata; Actinopteri; Pomacentridae.
AAUUUAAACCAUGACCCUAAUCAAAUGCAAACAUAAAAACAAUAUCAGCUACAAUAUCUAUAUCCAAAGUCAGGCUCUCGUAUUUACAAAUUCCAAUUUUUCCCCCAAAAAAAGUUCAUGAAUAAAGUCAAAUUGUACAGAAACAGAAACCACAUAACUUCAUAUUACACAGCAGCCAAAAUCCGCACUGUCUAUAUUAUCUAAUGUAAAGACACAUCUGAUAGCGUUCUGUCUUAUGGACAUCUCUUUGCACAAUCAGACGACAUUUUAAAAAAAAUCUUAAUUUAUGCAGAAUCCUCUUUCCAUAACAACAUGCUGUACAUGUGGCCAUUAAAAGCACUUCCAUCUGUGGCUAUUUUUAUCACCAGACACAGAGAUAGGAGAGAAAAACAUUUUCAAGGUGGCUUGCCCGUUCUUACAAAACCAAUACCAGCCCUGGAUAUUCCCAAGACGAUUCCCAGAGCUGUAAACACCGAUCAUGUUCCUGCACACUGCCUGGACAGCACAGGAAUACAGUUGAAGGCUGACCAGAACAGCAUGUUCCCUCUGUCAACAUUAAUGCUCCAUUCAAACGGCAGCUACCUUCAAUCCACAGCUGACAGAGCUGAGCUGCUUCAGGCCCUGCAGGCUUUAGUUGAUGCCAUUCAUUACAAAUGCUGCUCUCUGACCCAACACGGUUUCAUCGCCUCCAACACACACCAGGACACCAGCGAGCAUCAUGAUGGUGGCUUGAAUCAUAGCAGCUCACUGAGUGCUCUGGCCUUGCCACAGCAGGUGCAGAGUGAUGCUAAAAUACUGAGGUCCAAGAGGGCAAGGUGAACGAGGAUGUGAUCUCUCAUGUCAGUAAUCAGCAGCUCUACAGGAGUCUGGCCCGUCUGUCUGUUAUUUCACUGUCUGGGCAAUUGUGAACAAAUGGGUGUGCCACCAAACGUGCAACCAUUAUCACUUCAGCUCAGCCUCGGUUUAAUUAAACACCGGCCUGGUAUUAUUUUGAAUUGCAGGCUGAGGUUGCAGACAGGUCGGGUUGAAUGGAAGCUGAAAGAGCUGCACUGUGCUAACGUUUAAACAAUGGUUGGCUGGCUAACGUUAGCUGAUGUUACCACAAAGCGGCGAGCCCCCUCCUCCUCCCUGGUGAAAACAACUAGUUAGCUUCAAGAUAAAAUAUAAAAAAUGCUAAAACCUCUGCUGGGAUUUUAAACGACCUCGCCAGUCAAUUUAAACUAAGUCCCUAACGCUACGGGAAGCUUUAGACGCCAGUUAAAGGUAACUUAGCCACAUUUGCUCGCGUUGCUGAAACGGGGGUGGAGAUUUGUAUUUUGGUGAGCGACUCCCCAGAUGUGAAUAUCCAGAAAACACCACAGAGCAAAGUUUAGAGGCAGCGGAUUUGGAGCCUAUCCCAAAAUGCAUCAACAGAAGGAAGGGAAAUCCGCGGGGACUAUUUCCAAAGCUGCCGCAAGGAUUACAAGGAUUUUCUGGGAGAUAUUUUCCUUCAGCUGUCACCUGCCCCGUGAUGUCAGACUUCAUUUGACUAAUUCGAUAAGAGCGCUCUCUGCUGUGACCAUUUAACCAAAAGAGCAAGUGAAGGCCAGGAGAGGACUAGAGUCAAUUCAUCUGCAAGGUACAGUACAUUUCAAAAAUCAGAUACCUUUCAAAAGCUGCAGUUUUCAGACACAGAUCUCAUGAUAUUCUUCACCUAAAGUUGCUCUAGUUGUUAUUAAGCAUUCACAAUAUUGGAUUUUUGUUGAUAUCUCACACAGUGAUAUUUUCUAACUUAUUUUAACUGCUUUAUGCACAUGGAGUCAUGGAAAAGUUAUUAGACUACCCUUGUUUUCUUUAAUUUCUUGUUCAUUUCAAUGCCUGGUACAACUAAAGGUACAUUUGUUUGGACAAAUAUAAUGAUAACAACAAAAAUAAAUCCUAAGAGUUUAAUUUAAGAGCUGACAUCUAGACA